ACACGGAAUCAUAAACACCAAUUUCUCUCAAAAUCAUCAUCAUGCUAUUUUUCACCAAAACCCACAAUUUUUCUCAAUUUUCAUUCAAACUACAUAAACAAUCACAACAAUUCAAAGCCCAUCAACAUAACAACAUGUAUAAAAAUAUAUGAAGUGAAUUCAAACAUGUUUCAACAACAAUUUUCACUUGGAUUAUUGUAUUUAUUUAUUAUAUGUGUUUAAUUGCUUGUUAGUGUGUUUAAUUUGGGAUUAGUGGAUUUUUAGUCGAGAAUGGUAUUUUGGUCAUUUUUAAGACUAAGUGUAUUUUGGUCAUUUGACGAGUACGGGUAAAUUAGUAAUUUUAACAGGAAGAUUAUUUUUAGUGUUUUAGUGAGAAUAGUUAUUUUUACUAAGUUAGUCGUAGCUAGUGGUAAUUAUUUUGAGAUGGUAAUUAAAGAGAUGUUUAAUGAGUUAAGUGUGUAGUAAAUUUUUAGAAUUAAGUGGUAAGAGUUUUGAGGCCCAUUAUUAAUCGUAGUAACCUAGCCCAUGAUUGGAGUAAAAUAGAUAGCUCAUGAGAGGAAAUCAGUUUUAGCUCAUUCCACACUUUCAUAAUAGAGAGGCUAGAGAGAAUUGAGAGAGAAGAAAAGUGAAGAGGCUAGGAUUCUUUGGAGAGAGUGAAGAUUCUUAAUGAUUAGCUUAGUUUUUGAGGAGCCAAGGUAAGGGGGAUAUGUUUGUUCUACUAAAUAAGCUAUAAUAUAAUUUUUCACUUAUGGGUCAUAAUUGUUUUUGAAUGAAUUAUGAUUUUGAUGAUUUUGGAUGUUAAUUUUUUUGCUCAUAAUUAGAUGAUGAUUUUGGGUAUGUGAAAUUUGUGGAAAACUUGUUGAUCCUUUAUUUUCAUUGUUGAUAUAUCUUGAAGUGAAUACUUUGAGAAUUUGGCUUAAAAUGAUGAAAAUAAUGUUCUUGUGGUUGAUUGAUGAUGAAUUCAUGGUUAUAUGCUAUGAAUGUUGUUGGUUAUAUGUUGGUAAUGAUAAUUCAUGAAUUGGGUGAUCAUAAAAGUGAUGUUGUGAUUAAGUUUUUGUGUUUUCAUGACUUUU
Molecule: long non-coding RNA, 1073 nt
Filed under: Medicago truncatula (barrel medic)
Lineage: Eukaryota; Viridiplantae; Streptophyta; Magnoliopsida; Fabales; Fabaceae
Description: long non-coding RNA (MTRU_LNC006752)
Source: RNAcentral